Molecule: ribosomal RNA, 537 nt
Filed under: Chaetomium sp.
Lineage: Eukaryota; Fungi; Ascomycota; Sordariomycetes; Sordariales; Chaetomiaceae
Description: LSU rRNA
Rfam family: Eukaryotic large subunit ribosomal RNA
Source: RNAcentral
UAACGGCGAGUGAAGCGGCAACAGCUCAAAUUUGAAAUCUGGCUUCGGCCCGAGUUGUAAUUUGCAGAGGAAGCUUUGGGCGCGGCACCAACUGAGUCCCCUGGAACGGGGCGCCAUAGAGGGUGAGAGCCCCGUAUAGUUGGACGCCUAGCCUGUGUAAAGCUCCUUCGACGAGUCGAGUAGUUUGGGAAUGCUGCUCAAAAUGGGAGGUAAAUUUCUUCUAAAGCUAAAUACCGGCCAGAGACCGAUAGCGCACAAGUAGAGUGAUCGAAAGAUGAAAAGCACUUUGAAAAGAGGGUUAAAUAGCACGUGAAAUUGUUGAAAGGGAAGCGCUUGUGACCAGACUUGCGCCCGGCUGAUCAUCCGGUGUUCUCACCGGUGCACUCUGCCGGGCUCAGGCCAGCAUCGGUUCUCGCGGGGGGAUAAAGGCCCUGGGAACGUAGCUCCUCCGGGAGUGUUAUAGCCCAGGGCGUCAUGCCCCCGCGGGGACCGAGGUUCGCGCAUCUGCAAGGAUGCUGGCGUAAUGGUCAUCAGCGA